Molecule: long non-coding RNA, 290 nt
Organism: Pollicipes pollicipes
Lineage: Eukaryota; Metazoa; Arthropoda; Thecostraca; Pollicipedomorpha; Pollicipedidae
Exons: 3
Source: RefSeq, a predicted model, not a curated record
GACCCAGGGGCCGGCUGGAGCUGGGAGGAGCCGUCGGCCGUCGUCACCGUGCAGGACAAGAUUCGCGCCUACCGGGAGACGCGCUCGCGCGUGUCCGAAUCGGAGCAGCAGGCCCCCGAGCCGGACUUCUUCUCGGACAUGGCUCCGAGCAUAAGGCGCUCGCAGAGGGUGCUGGUCGGGUCGGAGGAGCCCUCGGCCGCCGUCGACGCUGCUGGUCUCUCCUCCCGGCUGGCCUACACCGACAGCAUGGUGAUGCCACAGGCCGCUGAGCUGACCGACUUGGUGGAACC